GGCUCAGGAUGAACGCUGGCGGCGUGCCUAAUACAUGCAAGUCGAACGCACAGCGAAAGGUGCUUGCAUCUUUCAAGUGAGUGGCGAACGGGUGAGUAACACGUGGAUAACCUACCUCAAGGUUGGGGAUAACAUUUGGAAACAGAUGCUAAUACCGAAUAAAACUUCGUAUCGCAUGAUACAGGUUAAAAGGCGCUACGGCGUCACCUAGAGAUGGAUCCGCGGUGCAUUAGUUAGUUGGUGGGGUAAAGGCCUACCAAGACAAUGAUGCAUAGCCGAGUUGAGAGAUUGAUCGGCCACAUUGGGACUGAGACACGGCCCAAACUCCUACGGGAGGCUGCAGUAGGGAAUCUUCCACAAUGGGCGAAAGCCUGAUGGAGCAACGCCGCGUGUGUGAUGAAGGCUUUCGGGUCGUAAAGCACUGUUGUAUGGGAAGAACAGCUAGAGUAGGGAAUGACUUUAGUUUGACGGUACCAUACCAGAAAGGGACGGCUAAAUACGUG
RNAcentral lists this ribosomal RNA (503 nucleotides) under uncultured bacterium. RNAcentral describes it as "bacterial SSU rRNA". It matches the Rfam family "Bacterial small subunit ribosomal RNA", at positions 21 to 507 of the family's 1533-position model. The record is from RNAcentral.